AUCUAUGGCCAUGCUACCCUGAACAAGCCCGAUGUCUGAUCUUGGAAGCUAAGCAGGGUCGGGCCUGGUUAGGACUUGGAUGGGAGACCACCUAGGAAGACCAGGUGCUGUAGGCA
This 116-nucleotide ribosomal RNA is filed under the name Pteropus alecto (black flying fox). Lineage: Eukaryota; Metazoa; Chordata; Mammalia; Chiroptera; Pteropodidae. The record is from RNAcentral.